CGCUUUGGGAGGAGCUCGCUUACUAUCAGCUUGUUGGUAGGGUAACGGCCUACCAAGGCUAUGACGGUUAGGGGGUGUGAGAGCAUGACCCCCAGCAUUGGCACUGAAACACUGGCCAAACACCUACGGGUGGCUGCAGUCGAGAAUCUUCCACAAUGGGGGAAACCCUGAUGGAGCGAUGCUGCGUGCGGGAUGAAGGCCUUCGGGUUGUAAACCGCUUUUGUAGGGGACGAAAUUUUUGACGGUACCCUUUCGAAUAAGAGGUUGCUAACUCUGUGCCAGCAGCAGCGGUAAUACAGAGACCUCAAGCGUUAUCCGGAUUUACUGGGCGUAAAGCGUCUGUAGGGGGUUUAUUAAGUUCCAAGUAAAAUUUCAAGGCUCAACUUUGAAUUCGCUUGGAAAACUAAUAAACUGGAGUCUAGCAGAGGUGCAUGGAACUUGUGGUGUAGGAGUGAAAUCCGUUGAUAUCACAAGGAACACCAAAGGCGAAGGCAUUGCACUGGGCUAGCACUGACCCUGAGAGACGAAAGCGUGGGGAGCAAAACGGAUUAGAUACCCGUGUAGUCCACGCCCUAAACGAUGAAUGCUAAAUGUUCGGGGAUUCGACCCCCUGGGUGUUACAGCUAACGCGUUAAGCAUUCCGCCUGGGAAGUACGGCCGCAAGGCUAAAACUCAAAGGAAUAGACGGGGAUCCGCACAAGCGGUGGAGCGUCUGGUUUAAUUCGACAGUAAGCGUGGUACCUCACCAGGGUUUGACAUCCCUUGACAGCCUUGGAAACAAGGUUUCCUUCGGGCAAGGUGACAGGUGCUGCAUGGUCGUCGUCAGUUCGUGCCGUGAGGUGUUCCGUUAAGUCGGGAAACGAACGAAACCCCUAUUGCAUGUUACAAUUUCUCAUGCAAGACUGCCCGGAUAUACUGGGAGGAAGGUGGGGAUGACGUCAGAUCUGCAUGGUCCUUAUACCCUGGGCGACACAGGCGCUACAAUGGCAGAGACAAAGGGUUGCAAAACCGCAAGGUGAAGCUAAUCCCAAAAACUUUGUCUAAGUUCGGAUUGAAGGCUGCAAUUCGCCUUCAUGAAGCUGGAAUCGCUAGUAAUCGUGAAUCAGCCACGUCACGGUGAAUAUGUUCCCGGAUCUUGUACUCACCGCCCGUCACACCAAGAGAGUUGGUAGCUCCCGAAGCGUCCCGUUUUAGCGGGGCAUCACGGAGAGAUCAGCGAUAGGGGUGAAG
This 1230-nucleotide ribosomal RNA is filed under the name uncultured organism. RNAcentral's name for it is "bacterial SSU rRNA". It matches the Rfam family "Bacterial small subunit ribosomal RNA", at positions 216 to 1485 of the family's 1533-position model. The record is from RNAcentral.